This 253-nucleotide ribosomal RNA is filed under the name uncultured bacterium. RNAcentral describes it as "partial 16S ribosomal RNA". It matches the Rfam family "Bacterial small subunit ribosomal RNA", at positions 524 to 776 of the family's 1533-position model. The record is from RNAcentral.
UACGGAGGGUGCAAGCGUUAUCCGGAUUCACUGGGCUUAAAGGGUGCGUAGGAGGGCAGGUAAGUCAGUGGUGAAAUCUCCGAGCUUAACUUGGAAACUGCCGUUGAUACUAUCUGUCUUGAAUAUUGUGGAGGUGAGCGGAAUAUGUCAUGUAGCGGUGAAAUGCUUAGAUAUGACAUAGAACACCAAUUGCGAAGGCAGCUCGCUACACAUAUAUUGACUCUGAGGCACGAAAGCGUGGGGAGCAAACAGG